CCUACGGGAGGCUGCAGUGAGGAAUAUUGGUCAAUGGUCGGGAGACUGAACCAGCCAAGCCGCGUGAGGGAGGAAGGUACAGAGUAUCGUAAACCUCUUUUGUCAGGGAACAAAGGCGGGGACGUGUCCACGGAUGAGUGUACCUGAAGAAACAGCAUCGGCUAACUCCGUGCCAGCAGCCGCGGUAAUCCGGAGGAGGCGAGCGUUAUCCGGAUUUAUUGGGUUUAAGGGGUGCGCAGGCGGUCUGUAAAGUCAGCGGUCAAGGCCCGGGGCUCAACCCCGGCCCGCCGUUGAAACUGGCAGACUCGAGUUGGAGAGAGGUAUGCGGAAUGCGCGGUGUAGCGGUGAAAUGCAUAGAUAUCGCGCAGAACUCCGAUUGCGAAGGCAGCAUGCCGGCUCCACACUGACGCUGAGGCACGAAAGCGUGGGUAUCGAACAGGAUUAGAUACCCGUGUAGUC
Molecule: ribosomal RNA, 459 nt
Filed under: uncultured bacterium
Lineage: Bacteria
Description: partial 16S ribosomal RNA
Rfam family: Bacterial small subunit ribosomal RNA
Source: RNAcentral